CCUAUACAUGCAGUCGAGCGGACAGAAGGGAGCUUGCUCCCGGAUGUUAGCGGCGGACGGGUGAGUAACACGUGGGUAACCUGCCUGUAAGACUGGGAUAACUCCGGGAAACCGGAGCUAAUACCGGAUAGUUCCUUGAACCGCAUGGUUCAAGGAUGAAAGACGGUUUCGGCUGUCACUUACAGAUGGACCCGCGGCGCAUUAGCUAGUUGGUGAGGUAACGGCUCACCAAGGCGACGAUGCGUAGCCGACCUGAGAGGGUGAUCGGCCACACUGGGACUGAGACACGGCCCAGACUCCUACGGGAGGCAGCAGUAGGGAAUCUUCCGCAAUGGACGAAAGUCUGACGGAGCAACGCCGCGUGAGUGAUGAAGGUUUUCGGAUCGUAAAGCUCUGUUGUUAGGGAAGAACAAGUGCAAGAGUAACUGCUUGCACCUUGACGGUACCUAACCAGAAAGCCACGGCUAACUACGUGCCAGCAGCCGCGGUAAUACGUAGGUGGCAAGCGUUGUCCGGAAUUAUUGGGCGUAAAGGGCUCGCAGGCGGUUUCUUAAGUCUGAUGUGAAAGCCCCCGGCUCAACCGGGGAGGGUCAUUGGAAACUGGGAAACUUGAGUGCAGAAGAGGAGAGUGGAAUUCCACGUGUAGCGGUGAAAUGCGUAGAGAUGUGGAGGAACACCAGUGGCGAAGGCGACUCUCUGGUCUGUAACUGACGCUGAGGAGCGAAAGCGUGGGGAGCGAACAGGAUUAGAUACCCUGGUAGUCCACGCCGUAAACGAUGAGUGCUAAGUGUUAGGGGGUUUCCGCCCCUUAGUGCUGCAGCUAACGCAUUAAGCACUCCGCCUGGGGAGUACGGUCGCAAGACUGAAACUCAAAGGAAUUGACGGGGGCCCGCACAAGCGGUGGAGCAUGUGGUUUAAUUCGAAGCAACGCGAAGAACCUUACCAGGUCUUGACAUCCUCUGACAACCCUAGAGAUAGGGCUUUCCCUUCGGGGACAGAGUGACAGGUGGUGCAUGGUUGUCGUCAGCUCGUGUCGUGAGAUGUUGGGUUAAGUCCCGCAACGAGCGCAACCNUUGAUCUUAGUUGCCAGCAUUCAGUUGGGCACUCUAAGGUGACUGCCGGUGACAAACCGGAAGAAAGGGGGG
RNAcentral lists this ribosomal RNA (1145 nucleotides) under Bacillus altitudinis. RNAcentral describes it as "bacterial SSU rRNA". It matches the Rfam family "Bacterial small subunit ribosomal RNA", at positions 48 to 1178 of the family's 1533-position model. The record is from RNAcentral. Lineage: Bacteria; Bacillati; Bacillota; Bacilli; Caryophanales; Bacillaceae.